UUUAUGUGCAAGUUUUGUAGAGAGAUCGAAAUCGAUUAACAUUAUAUGUCCGUUCUCUUGAAUCAUCACGUUUUCAGGCUUUAAAUCUCUGUAUACAAUCCCUGAUCCAUGUAGAUGCUCCAAUGCCAACACUAACUCCGCCGCGUAGAAUCUUAUAGUAUCGUCUGAGAACAUCUUUUCAGUUUGUUUUUUCCGGAGAGA
Molecule: unclassified non-coding RNA, 201 nt
Filed under: Hevea brasiliensis (rubber tree)
Lineage: Eukaryota; Viridiplantae; Streptophyta; Magnoliopsida; Malpighiales; Euphorbiaceae
Source: RNAcentral